Molecule: ribosomal RNA, 458 nt
Filed under: uncultured bacterium
Lineage: Bacteria
Description: partial 16S ribosomal RNA
Rfam family: Bacterial small subunit ribosomal RNA
Source: RNAcentral
CCUACGGGAGGCAGCAGUGAGGAAUAUUGGUCAAUGGCCGGAAGGCUGAACCAGCCAAGCCGCGUGAAGGACGAAGGUGCCAAGCAUUGUAAACUUCUUUUGUCAGGGACAAAAUCAGGCUCGAGAGCCUGACCGAGGGUACUUGAAGAAAAAGCAUCGGCUAACUCCGUGCCAGCAGCCGCGGUAAUACGGAGGAUGCGAGCGUUAUCCGGAUUUAUGGGGGUUAAAGGGGGCGUAGGCGGAAUGCCAAGUCAGCGGUAAAAUCGCGGGGCUCAACCUCGCUCCGCCGUUGAAACUGGCGUUCUUGAGUGGGCGAGAAGUAUGCGGAAUGCGUGGUGUAGCGGUGAAAUGCAUAGAUAUCGAGAGGAACACUCGUGGCGAAGGCGGGUUCCUGGACAUUAACUGACGCUGAGGCACGAAGGCCAGGGGAGCGAAAGGGAUUAGAUACCCUUGUAGUC